CCCAGCUUGAAUCCCCUCUUUUAGCCCACUGAAGUCCUUCUGGGGUACUGCGGUGUUCCUGGGCCCAGCCUGGAUCCCCUUGUCCCCCUGAAGUUCUUCGGGGUGUUCCUGGGCCGUACUUGGACCCCCGAUGGUUCCCUGGAGUCCUCCUGGGUUGCCUCCCCCAAGAACUGGAAUAUUCCUAGGCCCAGCCUGGAUUUGCCUCCGUUCAGCCUCCUGAAAUCAUUCUGAGCCUCAGCCUAGACCCCUUCCCAGUCCCGGAGGUCCCCUUGAGACCCAGGAUGUUUUGAUGGCUCAGUUGGCAACUGACUAGCAACAUUGUAUCCACAACCAAUCCAGGAGGAAACCUCAAUUAACCUAGUCCAGGGUCUUCCUAGGGUCAGCCUUGGGUCAGAAGAAGGUCAGGACCCUCUUCUCUAAGAAGCCUGUUCCGUCCAUAGUGAGUCAUCGGAUCUGAGGACCAACAGCCACCUGAGUCUCCUUCCCUCACCAGGCAAGGGACUGAUCCUAAAACAGGCCAAGAAGGACUGUGCAGGCUCAGAUGCUGCAUCAGGACCAGGCCAUCUGCACACCACUUGAAACCUGUGUGGCCUCUUGCCUGCUCAGGCCUUGGGAUCCAAGCCCUAUUUUCCAAGUUCACUUGAAAACGACUUAGGCCAUAUACCACAGGGCGAGCUGCCUACCUGUAAAAGCUUCUGUUCUGGGCAGGAUCUCCUGUUCUAGGGCAGUAACAGACAGGAAACUAGCUCAGAAAGGAUUUCUUGGACCCUUUUGGCCUAUGUUUUGAUCUUCUAAGCCUGUGAUCCCACCUGGUCCUCCUCCAACAUUCAGGACAAAGAGGUAGGUAGAAACACUUUCUGUACAUCCUGAGGACCUGAGUUCAAAUCCUGGAACCCACCAACCGGAGGAAGAAGAGAAACAACUCCACAAAGCCACCCACCCUCUGACUUCUAUUUACUUUACAAUGAUGUUAGCCCCCCCCCCAUACAAAAAUAAUAAAAAUGGUGGUUUUGGUUUGA
Long non-coding RNA from Mus musculus (house mouse), 1019 nucleotides. RefSeq annotates it as predicted gene, 40709. The record is from RefSeq and is a predicted model, not a curated record. The transcript is spliced from 4 exons. Lineage: Eukaryota; Metazoa; Chordata; Mammalia; Rodentia; Muridae.